Molecule: ribosomal RNA, 337 nt
Filed under: uncultured bacterium
Lineage: Bacteria
Description: bacterial SSU rRNA
Rfam family: Bacterial small subunit ribosomal RNA
Source: RNAcentral
AAUCAACGCUGGCGGCGUGCCUCAGACAUGCAAGUCGAACGAUUAAAGCUCUCUUCGGAGAGUGUAUAGAGUGGCGCACGGGUGAGUAACACGUAAGUAAUCUACCUUUGAGUGGGGAAUAACAGUCGGAAACGACUGCUAAUACCGCAUAAUGCAGCGGCAUCGCAAGAUGACAGUUGUUAAAGGAGCAAUCCGCUUAAAGAGGAGCUUGCGGCAGAUUAGCUAGUUGGUAAGGUAAUGGCUUACCAAGGCUACGAUCUGUAUCCGGUCUAAGAGGACGGUCGGACACACUGACACUGAAUAACGGGUCAGACUCCUACGGGAGGCAGCAGUCGGG